RNAcentral lists this long non-coding RNA (218 nucleotides) under Elaeis guineensis (African oil palm). RNAcentral's name for it is "long non-coding RNA (EGUI_LNC049237)". Lineage: Eukaryota; Viridiplantae; Streptophyta; Magnoliopsida; Arecales; Arecaceae. The record is from RNAcentral.
AAACCUAAACUAAUUCAAUCCUCAUCUACAAGAGAGAAAGGGGAGCAUGAAGAUGCGAUUUAGCAUGGCAUGUUCAUCAUGUAAAUUCAAAAUUUGUGUGAAGAACAUUGGCAUGGAGAUGGUGGUUGGCGCAAGGAGAUGGUCCAAUCCAAUUGGACUCUUAGUUCUUUGAUAUUUGGUCCUAAUCCAAAUCUUAUUUGGUUAGACCCAAAUGAUAA